This 253-nucleotide ribosomal RNA is filed under the name uncultured bacterium. RNAcentral describes it as "partial 16S ribosomal RNA". It matches the Rfam family "Bacterial small subunit ribosomal RNA", at positions 524 to 776 of the family's 1533-position model. The record is from RNAcentral.
CACGGGGGGAGCAAGCGUUGUUCGGAAUCACUGGGCGUAAAGGGCGUGUAGGCGGUCAAGUAAGUGGGACGUGAAAGCCCCCGGCUCACCCGGGGAUCUGCAUCCCAAACUGCUUGGCUUGAGUAUGGGAGAGGAUAGGGGAAUUCCUGGUGUAGCGGUGAAAUGCGUAGAUAUCAGGAGGAACACCGGUGGCGAAGGCGCCUAUCUGGCCCAAUACUGACGCUGAGGCGCGAAAGCUAGGGGAGCAAACGGG